Molecule: transfer RNA, 85 nt
Filed under: Felis catus (domestic cat)
Lineage: Eukaryota; Metazoa; Chordata; Mammalia; Carnivora; Felidae
Rfam family: tRNA
About the family: Transfer RNA (tRNA) molecules are approximately 80 nucleotides in length. Their secondary structure includes four short double-helical elements and three loops (D, anti-codon, and T loops).
Source: Rfam by way of RNAcentral
GCCUGGGUGGCUUAGUUGGUUAAGCAUCUGACUUAGGCUCAGGUCAUGAUCUCAAGGUUUGUGGGUUCAAGCCCCACAUUGGGCU